Molecule: non-coding RNA, 505 nt
Organism: Chlorocebus sabaeus (green monkey)
Lineage: Eukaryota; Metazoa; Chordata; Mammalia; Primates; Cercopithecidae
Source: RefSeq, a predicted model, not a curated record
AACUCCUAACUUCGUGAUCUGCCCACCUCAGCCUCCCAAAGUGUUGGGAUUACAGGACACGGCCAGCCAUGGGCAGGGCAGUGCCUUUCAAAGCUGCGUUUAUGGAUCGCUUAGCCCUCAUCCAGCCCUCCAGGGAGCAGGUGCAGAGACUCACAGCAGAGCACCUUCCACACCAGACACCCGGCAUAAGGAACAGGUAUGGAGCUCCAGGCUGUGCGACUUUACCGAGAGCCAUUUUUUGCCUUCUCAGUGACAUGUGGAUAUGCAGGUUUUGAUGACACGCAGCCAAUAGCCAGAUCUGCUGGAAAAGGAAAAGUGAUUCGACUUUUAAAGGAAAAAUUUCAUUUUAAGAAAAUAAUCAUGAUUGGAGAUGGAGCUGCAGACAUGGAAGCCUGUCCUCCUGCUGUAUGAAGGGUACUAAUUUUUUUUUUUCAGGUUGUGCUUUUGUUUUAUUUAUUUAUUUAUUAUUUCUUCAUUUUUUUUUGAGAUGGAGUUCACUCUUGUU